RNAcentral lists this ribosomal RNA (984 nucleotides) under Mycoplasma sp. ST 101. RNAcentral's name for it is "bacterial SSU rRNA". It matches the Rfam family "Bacterial small subunit ribosomal RNA", at positions 316 to 1306 of the family's 1533-position model. The record is from RNAcentral. Lineage: Bacteria; Bacillati; Mycoplasmatota; Mollicutes; Mycoplasmatales; Mycoplasmataceae.
GGACUGAGAUACGGCCCAAACUCCUACGGGAGGCAGCAGUAGGGAAUAUUCCACAAUGAGCGAAAGCUUGAUGGAGCGACACAGCGUGCACGAUGAAGGUCUUCGGAUUGUAAAGUGCUGUUAUAAGGGAAGAACACUCAGAGGAGGAAAUGCCUUUGAGCUGACGGUACCUUGUCAGAAAGCGAUGGCUAACUAUGUGCCAGCAGCCGCGGUAAUACAUAGGUCGCAAGCGUUAUCCGGAAUUAUUGGGCGUAAAGCGUUCGUAGGCUGUUUAUUAAGUCUGGAGUCAAAUCCCGGGGCUCAACCCCGGCUCGCUUUGGAUACUGAUAAACUAGAGUUGGAUAGAGGUAAGCGGAAUUCCAUGUGAAGCGGUGAAAUGCGUAGAUAUAUGGAAGAACACCAAAGGCGAAGGCAGCUUACUGGGUCUAUACUGACGCUGAGGGACGAAAGCGUGGGGAGCAAACAGGAUUAGAUACCCUGGUAGUCCACGCCGUAAACGAUGAUCAUUAGUCGGUGGAGAGUUCACUGACGCAGCUAACGCAUUAAAUGAUCCGCCUGAGUAGUAUGCUCGCAAGAGUGAAACUUAAAGGAAUUGACGGGGACCCGCACAAGCGGUGGAGCAUGUGGUUUAAUUUGAAGAUACACGGAGAACCUUACCCACUCUUGACAUCUUCCGCAAAGCUAUAGAGAUAUAGUAGAGGUUAACGGAAUGACAGAUGGUGCAUGGUUGUCGUCAGCUCGUGUCGUGAGAUGUUUGGUCAAGUCCUGCAACGAGCGCAACCCCUAUCUUUAGUUACUAACGAGUCAUGUCGAGGACUCUAGAGAUACUGCCUGGGUAACCGGGAGGAAGGUGGGGAUGACGUCAAAUCAUCAUGCCUCUUACGAGUGGGGCCACACACGUGCUACAAUGGUCGGUACAAAGAGAAGCAAUAUGGCGACAUGGAGCAAAUCUCAAAAAGCCGAUCUCAGUUCGGAUUGGAGUCU